UUCUUUCCCGGGGCAGUUAUGGGCUAAGUCAUCCUUUAUGACGGGCCAACUGUGUCCACAGUUCCUCUGCACAUCCGGUGGGUUUCCCCACUUGCAAGGCAAGGGCGUCAGGUGCAGAGUAGGAAGCUGGGCUUGAUCUUGGAUCUCCCAGCUCUGCCCUAUCCCCUACACCCUGUAUUCCCACCCUCACCCAGCUACAGAGCCUCUGCAGCCGCAACCUCGGCAGUCACGGAGGGCUCUUGUCUACCAGCAGGAACUCAAGUCUACCAGCUGCUUAGGCCUCCUUAGCCCUACAGACCACAGCUCUGCCCUGCUUCCUCCCGUGUGCCCUAAUAGCUCAGCUCGAGCCAGCACGUGCUCAGGAAGGCAUCCUGGAACCGAACAUCCUGCAGGAGAGAUAGAAGGACAGGAAUGCCCCGGGAAGACGUCAAGAACAGUCAUGGCCACCCGGGUGUACUGCCCCAAGGCUGAGGCCCCGGUGAGCGUGAUCAGAGAGGCUCCCAGGGUGUAAGGGAUCUGGGAAAGCCAACCUGGAGGGACUGUCAGCAACCACAUCAACACGUGCAAAGGCCCUGGGGUACAACGUGCAACCGGGCGAGGAGCCCACUGGCGGGUGGAUCAGAGAGCAAGCAGGUAGCACUUCAAGAAUCCUAUAAGUAGGUCCAGGGUUCCACCCAGCUGAGGACAACACCAGUGGACUGGGGAAGAAGGGACCUGCAUGGUGGUACAGACAGGAAAGCAUUGCCCACAGGCCAGCCAGUCCAUGCUGGCCAACCCGAAAAGUGCGUCCAGAGCCCGGCCACCGCAGCAGCAGAUUCCUGGACCCAAAGCUAGCCUCUGACCUCCAAACCUGGAAGCCAGGGCCGCAGCAUUC
Molecule: non-coding RNA, 874 nt
Organism: Myodes glareolus (Bank vole)
Lineage: Eukaryota; Metazoa; Chordata; Mammalia; Rodentia; Cricetidae
Source: RefSeq, a predicted model, not a curated record